RNAcentral lists this ribosomal RNA (534 nucleotides) under Bifidobacterium longum subsp. suillum. RNAcentral describes it as "bacterial SSU rRNA". It matches the Rfam family "Bacterial small subunit ribosomal RNA", at positions 153 to 702 of the family's 1533-position model. The record is from RNAcentral. Lineage: Bacteria; Bacillati; Actinomycetota; Actinomycetes; Bifidobacteriales; Bifidobacteriaceae.
GAAACGGGUGGUAAUGCCGGAUGCUCCAGUUGAUCGCAUGGUCUUCUGGGAAAGCUUUCGCGGUAUGGGAUGGGGUCGCGUCCUAUCAGCUUGACGGCGGGGUAACGGCCCACCGUGGCUUCGACGGGUAGCCGGCCUGAGAGGGCGACCGGCCACAUUGGGACUGAGAUACGGCCCAGACUCCUACGGGAGGCAGCAGUGGGGAAUAUUGCACAAUGGGCGCAAGCCUGAUGCAGCGACGCCGCGUGAGGGAUGGAGGCCUUCGGGUUGUAAACCUCUUUUAUCGGGGAGCAAGCGAGAGUGAGUUUACCCGUUGAAUAAGCACCGGCUAACUACGUGCCAGCAGCCGCGGUAAUACGUAGGGUGCAAGCGUUAUCCGGAAUUAUUGGGCGUAAAGGGCUCGUAGGCGGUUCGUCGCGUCCGGUGUGAAAGUCCAUCGCUUAACGGUGGAUCCGCGCCGGGUACGGGCGGGCUUGAGUGCGGUAGGGGAGACUGGAAUUCCCGGUGUAACGGUGGAAUGUGUAGAUAUCGGAA